RNAcentral lists this ribosomal RNA (277 nucleotides) under uncultured prokaryote. RNAcentral's name for it is "partial 16S ribosomal RNA". It matches the Rfam family "Bacterial small subunit ribosomal RNA", at positions 524 to 800 of the family's 1533-position model. The record is from RNAcentral.
GACGAACUGUUCUAACGUUAUUCGGAAUCACUGGGCUUAAAGGGCGCGUAGGCUGUUUGUUAAGCGGGGUCUGAAAUCCCUCGGCUCAACCGAGGAAUGGCGCCCAAAACUGCGGAGCUCGAGGGAGACAGAGGUGAGUGGAACUUGUGGUGGAGCGGUGAAAUGCGUUGAUAUCACAAGGAACACCGGUGGCGAAAGCGGCUCACUGGGUCUCUUCUGACGCUGAGGCACGAAAGCUGGGGGAGCGAACGGGAUUAGAUACCCCGGUAGUCCCUGA